UACGUAGGGUGCAAGCGUUAAUCGGAAUUACUGGGCGUAAAGCGUGCGCAGGCGGUGGUGUAAGACAGGUGUGAAAUCCCCGGGCUUAACCUGGGAACUGCAUUUGUGACUGCAUCGCUGGAGUGCGGCAGAGGGGGAUGGAAUUCCGCGUGUAGCAGUGAAAUGCGUAGAUAUGCGGAGGAACACCGAUGGCGAAGGCAAUCCCCUGGACCUGUACUGACGCUCAUGCACGAGAGCGUGGGGAGCAAACAGG
RNAcentral lists this ribosomal RNA (253 nucleotides) under uncultured bacterium. RNAcentral describes it as "partial 16S ribosomal RNA". It matches the Rfam family "Bacterial small subunit ribosomal RNA", at positions 524 to 776 of the family's 1533-position model. The record is from RNAcentral.